This 488-nucleotide ribosomal RNA is filed under the name uncultured bacterium. RNAcentral's name for it is "partial 16S ribosomal RNA". It matches the Rfam family "Bacterial small subunit ribosomal RNA", at positions 30 to 523 of the family's 1533-position model. The record is from RNAcentral.
AUUGAACGCUGGCGGCAGGCCUAACACAUGCAAGUCGAGCGGGGUUUUCGGACCUAGCGGCGGACGGGUGAGUAAUGCGUAGGAAGCUGCCCGAUAGAGGGGGAUACCAGUUGGAAACGACUGUUAAUACCGCAUAAUGUCUACGGACCAAAGUGUGGGACCUUCGGGCCACAUGCUAUCGGAUGCGCCUACGUGGGAUUAGCUAGUUGGUGAGGUAAUGGCUCACCAAGGCGACGAUCGCUAGCUGGUUUAAGAGGAUGAUCAGCCACACUGGAACGGAGACACGGUCCAGACUCCUACGGGAGGCAGCAGUGGGGAAGAUUGGACAAUGGGCGCAAGCCUGAUCCAGCCAUGCCGCGUGUGUGAAGAAGGCCUUCGGGUUGUAAAGCACUUUCAGCGAGGAGGAAGGGUGGUGUGUUAAUAGCACAUCAUUUUGACGUUACUCGCAGAAGAAGCACCGGCUAACUCUGUGCCAGCCGCCGCCGUAA